This is a long non-coding RNA of Alosa sapidissima (American shad), 248 nucleotides long. RefSeq lists it as uncharacterized. The record is from RefSeq and is a predicted model, not a curated record. Lineage: Eukaryota; Metazoa; Chordata; Actinopteri; Clupeiformes; Clupeidae. The transcript has 3 exons.
UGUCAGAGUGUAGGUGUGUGACGUUAUCUCCAUUUUUCAGAAUGCUAAAAAAGUUAAAAUAUUUGAAGUGUCAUGUGCUUUUGACCUAUUUAUGGAGGACUCAUACUGUACAAAAACUCUCAAAUACCAGCCUUUGAUUUCUGCAUAGGUCAUGUACAUAGGUUGGCGGUCCGUGGACUUUGCAUUGGGGGACUAUAUAGAACUAAGGCCAAGCAGCUAGUGAAGUACUGUUCCAUAUCAGCAAUUAU